AGAAUAUACCGGUUCUCGUUAGAUCACCGAAGUCAAGCAUCAUUGGGCGCGGUCGGUACUUGGGUGGGUGACCACCUGGGAACACUGCGUGCCGUU
Molecule: ribosomal RNA, 96 nt
Filed under: Caerostris darwini
Lineage: Eukaryota; Metazoa; Arthropoda; Arachnida; Araneae; Araneidae
Source: RNAcentral